ACCCUUGAAUUGGGGAUAACUCUUCGAAAGGGGAGUUAAUACCGAAUAAUAUUCCAAUUUCUACGGGAGUGGAAUCAAAGGUGGCCUCUGCAUGCAAGCUAUCGUUUAAGGAUGGGCCCGCGUGCCAUAAGCUAGUUGGUAGGGUAAUGGCCUACCAAGGCUACGAUGGUUAGCUGGUCUAAGAGGAUGGCCAGCCACACUGGAACUGAGACACGGUCCAGACUCCUACGGGAGGCAGCAGUGGGGAAUCUUGCGCAAUGGGGGAAACCCUGACGCAGCAACGCCGCGUGGGUGAUGAAGGCCUUCGGGUCGUAAAGCCCUGUCAGGUGGGAAGAAACCUGUGGAUGCUAAUAUCAUCCACACUUGACGGUACCACCGGAGGAAGCACCGGCUAACUCCGUGCCAGCAGCCGCGGUAAUACGGAGGGUGCAAGCGUUGUUCGGAAUUAUUGGGCGUAAAGCGCGUGUAGGUGGUUGAGUAAGUCAGAUGUGAAAGCCUUCUGCUUAACAGGAGAAGUGCAUUUGAAACUGCUCGGCAGGAGUACGGCAGAGUAGAGUGGAAUUCCCGGUGUAGAGGUCAAAUUGGAAGAUAUCGGGAGGAACUCCACUGUCGAAGGCGCCCCUCUGGUCCGAUACGGACGGUGAGACGCGAACGCCGGGGAGCAAACAGGAUUAGAUACCCCGUAGUCC
RNAcentral lists this ribosomal RNA (689 nucleotides) under uncultured bacterium. Its description in RNAcentral is "bacterial SSU rRNA". It matches the Rfam family "Bacterial small subunit ribosomal RNA", at positions 128 to 796 of the family's 1533-position model. The record is from RNAcentral.